CGCGUAGGCGGCCGAUCAAGUCGGAGGUGAAAUCCCUCGGCUCAACUGAGGAAUUGCCUUCGAUACUGUUCGGCUUGAGUCCUGGAGAGGGUAGCGGAAUUCCCGGUGUAGCGGUGAAAUGCGUAGAGACCGGGAAGAACACCAGUGGCGAAGGCGGCUACCUGGACAGGUACUGACGCUGAAGCGCGAAAGCUAGGGGGAGAAAC
This 206-nucleotide ribosomal RNA is filed under the name uncultured bacterium. RNAcentral's name for it is "partial 16S ribosomal RNA". It matches the Rfam family "Bacterial small subunit ribosomal RNA", at positions 568 to 773 of the family's 1533-position model. The record is from RNAcentral.